Paramormyrops kingsleyae is the source of this 538-nucleotide non-coding RNA. The record is from RefSeq and is a predicted model, not a curated record. Lineage: Eukaryota; Metazoa; Chordata; Actinopteri; Osteoglossiformes; Mormyridae.
GAUUCUUCAGACUAAGUGAAAAACUAACAAAUGUUAAUCUCUAUCCAAAGGGAUGAAUGGCUCAGACGGCAGAGAAAAAUGGUCGCCAUUGACGCAUUGAACUUCAAAAACCAGAAGGAGCAGUACGACAUGACACGCGUAAUCCGUGAGCUGAACAAGGCCUACUGUGGUUUCCGGGGAGAAGAGAACAUUCCUGUCGAUUACCUCCCAGCUGUAGCUACUGGGAACUGGGGCUGCGGUGCCUUUAAGGGUGACCCCAAACUCAAAGAAUGGAGCCUUACCAAUGCUGCACGUCCACCACACAUGAGAUCCCCAUCCAUCACAUUCUGCACAUUUAUACAGACACUAUGGGCAAUUUAGACAUGCUCAUUACCCUAUUUACAUGGCUUUGGACUGAACGUGCACAUGGAGCGACCAUGUAAACUCCACACCCAGCGUGUCGGCUUUGAACCCCCAGCUCAGCCAUGAAACCCCCAUGGUUCUCAUACUCUAUGGAAGUGUUUCCCAGUCCGGUCCUCGGGGACCCACAGAGUCCACA